Molecule: transfer RNA, 85 nt
Filed under: Caudoviricetes sp.
Lineage: Duplodnaviria; Heunggongvirae; Uroviricota; Caudoviricetes
Description: tRNA-Ser
Rfam family: tRNA
About the family: Transfer RNA (tRNA) molecules are approximately 80 nucleotides in length. Their secondary structure includes four short double-helical elements and three loops (D, anti-codon, and T loops).
Source: RNAcentral
GCAAAGUUCUCAUAAUGGUAUUGGAGAUGAUUGCUAAUCAUUCGGUCGUUAAUUCGGCUUGUAGGUUCGAAUCCUGCACUUUGCG